RNAcentral lists this ribosomal RNA (1560 nucleotides) under Triticum aestivum (bread wheat). Its description in RNAcentral is "partial small subunit ribosomal RNA". Lineage: Eukaryota; Viridiplantae; Streptophyta; Magnoliopsida; Poales; Poaceae. The record is from RNAcentral.
AUGGAGCUAAGCGCAGGAGCCACUCUCCUUUUCCUCUCUCUCAUCUCGCUGAUGAUGCUCGUGUCCUUGCUUAGCCGCCGCAAAUCAACACCAAGUUCUAAUAAGAUGAGGCGUCCUCCUGGUCCACGGCGUCUCCCCCUCAUCGGAAGCCUCCACCACCUCGUCACGUCGAUGCCGCCGCAGGUCGUUCUCCGGGAUCUGGCCAAGAAGCACGGCCCGGUGAUGUACCUGCGGCUGGGCCAGGUCGACACCGUCGUGAUCUCCUCACCGGCGGCGGCGCAGGAGGUGCUCCGGGACAAGAACCUCACCUUCGCGUCGCGGCCGAGCCUUUUGGCCACGGAGAUCAUCUGCUACGGAAACACUGACGUCGCCUUCGCGCCAUACGGCGUGUACUGGAGGACGCUGCGCAAGCUCUGCGUAGUCCAGCUCCUCAGCGCGCGAAAGGUGAGGCAGUUCUCGCCCAUAAGGGAUAGUGAGACCCUGUCCCUUGUCAGCAACAUCCGUCUCGCCAGCAGAGACAACGAGACGGUCAAUCUCGGCAAGCUGCUCAUGAAGUGCUCCAACACCAUCACCGCAAGUGCGACAUUCGGUGACGCGUGCGACCCCGAGCUCCAAGAGCGGUUCUUGUCUGCGAUCCAGGUGGCGCUCGACGCCAGCGGGGGGUUCUGCAUCGGGGACCUCUUCCCGUCCCUGCGGUUCGUCGACGUCGUCACCGGGCUGAAAGGCCGGCUCUGGCGGGCGCGUGGGCAGCUCGACGCCGUCUUUGACACGAUCAUCGCUGGUUGCGAGGCACGGCGAGAGGAGAAGAAGAAGACCACGAGGACGACAGCAACGACGGGAGAUGAUGACCUUCUGAGUGUCAUGCUUAGGAUCAAGGAGGAGGGGGAGCUUGACUUCCCCAUCGGCACUACAAACGUCAAGGCAAUCAUAGUGGAUUUGUUCACGGCAGGGACUGAGACGACAUCGUCGACAGUCGAGUGGAUCAUGUCGGAGCUCAUGAGGAACCCAGAGGUGAUGGCCAAGGCACAAGCGGAGGUGCGACGAACAUUGGACCACAAGAGUCCAGAAGACCAUGAGGGCCAAAUGGACAAGCUAAGCUACACAAAAAUGGUGAUCAAGGAGGGCAUGAGGCUGCACCCAGUAGUGCCGCUCUUGCUCCCCCGUGUAUGCCGGGAGACUUGCGAUGUCGGUGGGCUUCAGGUUGCAGGGGGGUCAAGGGUCAUGGUCAAUGUGUGGGCGAUAGCGAGGAGCCCUGAGUAUUGGCAUGACGCGGAGGAGUUUAGGCCAGAGAGGUUCAAGGACAGCGCCGUGGACUACAAUGGCACGCAGUUUGAGUACUUGCCGCUGGGGAGUGGACGGAGAAUGUGCCCCGGUGGUACAUACGGGUUGUCCACAUUGGAGCUCAUGCUGGCAAGACUUCUGUACUACUUUGAUUGGAGCCUCCCAGCCGGAAUACGGCCAAAUGAGCUUGACAUGGACAUGAUCGUCGGUGGAACGAUGAGAAGAAGGAACCAGCUGCACCUGGUUGCGACGCCGUAUAAUGUUCCUAUGGAAUUUUAA